GUGGUUUAAUUCGAUGCAACGCGAAGAACCUUACCUACUCUUGACAUCCAGACAACUUACCAGUAGAUGCUUUGGUGCCUUCGGGAACUCUGAGUACAGGUGCUGCAUGGCUGUCGUCAGCUCGUGUUGUGAAAUGUUGGGUUAAGUCCCGCAACGAGCGCAACCCUUAUCCUUUGUUGCCAGCGGUUAGGCCGGGAACUCAAAGGAGACUGCCAGUGAUAAACUGGAGGAAGGUGGGGAUGACGUCAAGUCAUCAUGGCCCUUACGAGUAGGGCUACACACGUGCUACAAUGGCGCAUACAAAGAGAAGCGACCUCGCGAGAGCAAGCGGACCUCAUAAAGUGCGUCGUAGUCCGGAUUGGAGUCUGCAACUCGACUCCAUGAAGUCGGAAUCGCUAGUAAUCGUGGAUCAGAAUGCCACGGUGAAUACGUUCCCGGGCCUUGUACACACCGCCCGUCACACCAUGGGAGUGGGUUGCAAAAGAAGUAGGUAGCUUAACCUUCGGGAGGGCGCUUACCACUUUGUGAUUCAUGACUGGGGUGAAGUCGUAACAAGGUAACCGUA
RNAcentral lists this ribosomal RNA (565 nucleotides) under Enterobacter sp. WAB1967. Its description in RNAcentral is "bacterial SSU rRNA". It matches the Rfam family "Bacterial small subunit ribosomal RNA", at positions 941 to 1504 of the family's 1533-position model. Lineage: Bacteria; Pseudomonadati; Pseudomonadota; Gammaproteobacteria; Enterobacterales; Enterobacteriaceae. The record is from RNAcentral.